AGGUGGGAUGUGGUCUAUAGAAAUUCAGCAAGUUCUCUGAAAAGCGUGCAAAAACUUUGUCCAAUUUUUUCUUUAUUUUCCCAUAUUUUGGCAAUUUUGAUGAGACCAAACAGGGCUAAGCCAAGUUUUGGUCAGCUCCAAAUGGUGUCAAGAAGCUGCUGUAAACAUUUCAGAUUUUUCUAAUAAACGAGUGAAACAUUAUGCCUAUUUUACCGAAUGUAUCUCAAGUUAUGUUUUUCCGAAAGGCACAACACGGUGGUGGCGGCAGUUAGGGCAAAGCAUCCCUAAACUCCAACACCGAUCACAAGAUCAGUCGUCCCUGUAACUAAUAGCAGUAGGUAUUCGCCUGAUGAUGUAAGGAGGGCUACGAUGCAGGCAAAAUAACAGUGGUUGGCAACCUAUUAUCU
This 407-nucleotide long non-coding RNA is filed under the name Sorghum bicolor (sorghum). RNAcentral describes it as "long non-coding RNA (SBIC_LNC009188)". The record is from RNAcentral. Lineage: Eukaryota; Viridiplantae; Streptophyta; Magnoliopsida; Poales; Poaceae.